CCCAGGUCUGAGAGUGAGGAAAACAGCAGAGCAGCCAAAACCUGUGCUCUGCUGAGGCCUCUGACACAGAGAGAAGGCUGAAACUCUCUUCCAGGGGUUCCUUUGAGCCCUCAAAUUUCUGGGUAUUUUUUUUAAAGAAAAUGGAUAAAGCCAAACAAGACACACAAUAAAUUUAGCCUAAAAUGACUAUUAAAUUGUAGUGUCUCAUGAUUUAUAAUCGAUAUUGCACCUUCUUUAUGCCACAUGAUAAUCCAAUGGGUAUAUGGUGACCAUGCUUCUCUCAGCCUGUCUGCAGCUCCUGGAGAGCUUUCUGCAUCUCAGAAUAGCAAAGUUGAGGGCUGGCAAUAGUGAGCUCCUGAGACUCCAUGGAUCAUCGAGAAGUGAUGCUUCUUGAAGGGAUCUUAGUCUUACUGACUCCAUGGUGAUUAAAGAUCCUGGCUAAAAGAAACUUUAGUCCUGUGACAUCUCUCUCAUCAAUGUAGCAAGGCAAAGGUGAAGCUCUCAUCUUGGUGCAUCCCCAUUACAUCUGUGCAUGGCACCACCCACAUCACCAGGUGCUUUACCUGAUACCAUUCAACAUGUCUGUUAUCGCAGUAAACACCUGCAUACCAAGCAAGUAAAGAAAGGCCACUUCAUAGAGAGACAACUUGAAGAUCCAGUGCAGAACUUCAACAAUUACAAGUGGUCCAUGAGACUCAUCUUCAUCGCUUCUAUGCUUCAAAGAACAGUCAGUGCUUAUUUCCAUUUGAAAGUGGAUGCAUGAAUGGAAUUAGUUAGCACAUUGCAAGUUUUUCUUCUUCAGAAACAGACUUCUUUUAAUGAACUGAAUUUGAAAUUAACUGACUGUGAAGUAGAAUAUCUGGGGAACCCUUAAUUCCUGUGGACUGAGGAUCUUCAGUGCUGACAUCUGGAAAGCACACAAGGAGGCAGCACACACAGGAGCAGCCUAGACAGGGGCCGGGAGAUAAAAUUCUGACAGAUGGAAAGGUAAGGGACACAGUCUCAGGCACACCUCUAGGAGCUGAAGAAUCACAGAUUCCCUUCUAGAUCGUCCAGAGUGAGUUCAUCCUGACAGCAUCCUGGCUCUAUCACACUAAGGACUGAGAUGUACUUAUGACCUCCAGAACUGUAAAAUGAUGACUUUUGAAUGUUCAAGACAUAAUUGCAUACAAAGUCUUACUGUACAAAUAAAAAAGUAAUGUGAAUGUC
Molecule: long non-coding RNA, 1209 nt
Organism: Cavia porcellus (domestic guinea pig)
Lineage: Eukaryota; Metazoa; Chordata; Mammalia; Rodentia; Caviidae
Exons: 2
Source: RefSeq, a predicted model, not a curated record